RNAcentral lists this ribosomal RNA (253 nucleotides) under uncultured bacterium. RNAcentral describes it as "partial 16S ribosomal RNA". It matches the Rfam family "Bacterial small subunit ribosomal RNA", at positions 524 to 776 of the family's 1533-position model. The record is from RNAcentral.
UACGUAGGUGACCAGCGUUGUCCGGAUUUACUGGGCGUAAAGCGCGCGCAGGCGGUCCUUUAAGUCUGAUGUGAAAGCCCACGGCUCAACCGUGGAGGGUCAUUGGAAACUGGGGGACUUGAGUACAGAAGAGAAGAGUGGAAUUCCACGUGUAGCGGUGAAAUGCGUAGAGAUGUGGAGGAACACCAGUGGCGAAGGCGACUCUUUGGUCUGUAACUGACGCUGAGGCGCGAAAGCGUGGGGAGCAAACAGG